UAAAAUUAUGAUUUUAUUUAGAAAUUGGGUUAAUACUUUGAUUUUCAUACUUAAAUUGUUCUAAAGGAAUUUUUUUUAGUAGUAAUUUACAUUAUUAAUCUAUUAAUAUAGGAUAUAGCAAUAGUGUUUAAUUCUAACAAAUUUUUGUGCCAGCAGUUGCGGUUAUACAAAAAGGAUAACUUAAUUUUUGUGGUUGGUAGAUAACUAGUUAAAAAUUUAAAAAUGUUACAUUGGGAGGUGAAAUUUUAAUGUGAAGUAUAAGUGGGUGAAUUAAGUGAUCUAAGUAGAUUUUGUAAUAAACCAGGAUUAGAUACCCUGUUAUAUUAAUUGUUAACAAAUAACCAGAUUAUUAACAGAUAAGUCCUUGAAAAUUAACUAUCUUGGCGGUACUUUAACCUACCAGAGGAACCUGCCCUGUAAUUGAUAGUCCACAAUUUAUUUUACUUUAAUUAUUGCUUGUAUAUCGUUGUUGUAAUGAAUAUUUUUAGAAAAAUUUAAUAUUCUUCAAAUAAAAUUAUAUUUUAUAUCAAAUCAAGGUGCAGCUUUUUAAAGAAGAGGUGGGUUACUUUUAUGAAUUUGAAUUUGUAAAAUUUUACUUUUUAGGAUUUGGUAGUAAUAUUAAUUUAUUAAAGUUGUAUGAAUCAGGUUAUAAAGUAUGUACAUAUCGCCCGUCGCUUUCAUAAUUUAUGAAAUAAGUCGUAACAUAGUAGAUUUAUCGGAAGAUGACUCUAGAAUAAC
Molecule: non-coding RNA, 738 nt
Filed under: Chrysomelidae sp. SOIL MMG Contig15
Lineage: Eukaryota; Metazoa; Arthropoda; Insecta; Coleoptera; Chrysomelidae
Source: RNAcentral